Molecule: non-coding RNA, 1829 nt
Organism: Erythranthe guttata (spotted monkey flower)
Lineage: Eukaryota; Viridiplantae; Streptophyta; Magnoliopsida; Lamiales; Phrymaceae
Source: RefSeq, a predicted model, not a curated record
UGGGCAGGAAUGUUUCGGAUGUAUUGUGAGAAGCAAUAUCCACCGGCCAAGUAGUUUCGUUGUACCGAGGCCUUGGAACAAAGAACAAACUAACAUCAAGCGUUUAUUCGUAUAUUUAAAUAAGUCAAGUUAUUGUUAUAACCACUUUAAUUAUUCUAGAGACACACACACAAUCUCGUGAAACGUAGAUGCUCUUACAGUUUCCUAUUGUGAUGGUAAAAGUGAAGAUUUUGACAUACGAAAGUGGUGAUGGUGUGGUGUGGCGGUGGCGUGGUGAAGAUGAGGAGCAGAUUUAUGAUUUUUUGAAUAGAUUGCACUAGGCCAAAAUGCAAGACUGACGACGUUUUUUUUCGCGACGGUUAUGUGUUCGUCGCCUAUUUGCGACGUUUCAGAGCUACAAUCGUCGCUGAAAGUGGAAAACCCAGGUUUAGUUCAAAACCCUAGCGACGAUUCCGUGUAAUCGUCGCUAGGUUGCGACGCAACAGGUAUAAACGUCGCAUAUAUGAAAAAAAAUUUAAAAAUAAUUAUUUGGCGACGAAAACUAUAUUUCGUCACACGUUUUACAUAUUUUGGGAUUUUAUAUUUCAAAUCUCGCGACGUAACAGUGUACAACGUCGCAAAUAUUAUUUUAAAAAAGAAAAAAUAAUAUACUUUGCGACGAUUUCUCGGAAACGUCGCUAUGAAUGCCCAAUUAUUUAAUAAUAAUUUAUAUAUUGCGACGGAAUGAUGUAAAACGUCGCCAUAGUUUUAUUUAAAAAAAAAAAAAUUCAUUGCGACGGAUGUUACAAAGCGUCGCAAUAAAUAUUUUCAAAUUUUUUUUUUCAGGAUUUAUUUGCGACGUAAUUUAUGUUUCGUCGCUAGUAUUCCCUUAAAAAAAAUUAUUUUUUGUUGCGACGAAAGAUGUAAACGUCGCAAAGGUUGAUUUAUUAUUUCAACCAGACCCUAAUUCGAUCUGUUUGUUUCGCUCUCUAAAUUUCUCCCCCUCUCUCUUUCCUCCGAUCUGGCCACUGCCGUCCGCCGCCCGCCGUCCGCCGCCCGCCGCCUGCUGCCCGCCGUUCGCCGUCAUCCCACCGGCGUUAGCCCUCCUCCGUGAUACCCUAAUUCGCCCCAAAUCUCCGCCGCCGAUCCCGACAGCCCUCCGCCGUCAGCCCUCUGUCGUCGCUGCCAGACCGUCUGCUGCCAUUCCUCCUCCGUCUGCCCUCCUCCUUCAAGAAUUUCAAGAAUUGAAGCAUAUACAAUCUCCACCGUUGGAUCCGUGUACAACAUUCAUUGAGGCAUCACCCAUAUUUGGCAAAUUUCGCUUGUUUCCAAAAUGGCAUCAUCCCAAUGAUUUUAUAUAUACCGUGCAAUUAUUAAUAAUUAUAUGCAUGGCCCCAACUCAAUAGAUGCUGCUUUUACAAAGUUGACCAAAAAAAAGAAAGAAUAUUUAUGAGCCAUACAGAAUACCAAAUUUAUAUUAUAUUCAUCAUUUAUCCAUAUCUUUUUUAUUCCAUUUGAUGAUUGAUUUCUCAGCCUAUAUAAACCAUAUGCAUCAAUCAAUCGUGGAAUAGUUAUAUAUAUACACACACAUGCAAGUGUGUGUGUGUUUCUGUUGAAGUAGGCUUGCAUGAAGAGGUAAAGAGAGUGGUUUGCAGCCAAGGAUGACUUGCCGAUGAUCUUGCAAUAUUAAUUAUAUUGCCCUAAUUUUAUUUAAAUGAUCUGAUCGGCAAGUUGUUCUUGGCUACAGUUUGCUCUCUUCUUCUCAUGUAAGCCCUGAUACAUGGAUCUAUAUAUGUAUAUAUAUCAUGUUGGAAUUAAAUAUAUAUCUGCAAUGCAAGUUACCAUAGAGU